CAAACACUAUGCUUUAGUGCCAGCCAGAGCAGCUGCUGAUACAUUGACAAAGAAGGAGAAAACAUGAGAUGGAACAUAUCAGAAAUAUUAAUAAAGGAAGAGAACUUACUGAUGUGUUGCAAAACCUUUCCAAGCUUUGAUUAGGGAGAAGAUAGUGAUAUCCAAAGCUAACAAGUCAGAAGUAAGCUACAAAACCAAACCAGAAUCAUCGAGAACUAAAUGCCAAAGCACAUGACAUCAUUAUGGUAUCACAU
This is a long non-coding RNA of Corapipo altera (White-ruffed manakin), 254 nucleotides long. RefSeq lists it as uncharacterized. NCBI's taxonomy places the organism in Eukaryota, Metazoa, Chordata, Aves, Passeriformes, Pipridae. The transcript has 3 exons. The record is from RefSeq and is a predicted model, not a curated record.